UGGAGAGCCGAGUGUGUGUGCGGCUGACGGCUGUGCUGGGCUGGCUCAGUUGGAAGUUGGACUGCGGACACACACAGUAGUACACAGAACAGUACUGUGUGGAACAGAACAGCCUGGGAAACCGAGUGACUGUGUGGACAGUGGGCGAUUCUGGGCUGCGGUGGGCUGCCUGUGUACUUGGGCAAUAAUUCUACUUAAGUAAAUGGACGGCGUGGUUGGUUACUGACUGAAGCCUGCGCAAAAGUGAAUGUGGAAUUCUGGACUGCUGGCUGUCAGGAACUGGUGGGCAAACUUCUACAGCAAAUAGACUCCUGGGAGGCAAUACAGGUAUUCAUGGCAGGAGUCAUGAAUGCUACAUGGGACAGAUACCUAGACAACUCAGGUUACUGUGGUAGACUGCCGUUAUUAUUUUAGACGAGUGCUUGGACUGGGUGACGGUGUUUGAUGAAUCCUACUUGAUGUACGGUGCGUCUAAUAUCUCACGAUCUUGAACCGUCAGUUUAUGGAGAUCUGCUUCCUGCAGAAAUUUUACACCGUCUUGGGGAUCGUCAGGGGUCGACCCGUAAAAUUUCCUAAAAUGUUCGGCCAUUAUUUCCCUGAUUUGUGUGGUGUCAUGUGUCCAGCCAUUAGGCGUUUUGAUAUUUUGUAUAUAUGUGUUGCGAGUUUUCCUCUUAGCUAUUUGUGCCAGUAAUUUCCCUUAUUUGUUACCAUAUCUGUAAAAUUUGUUUGCAGUAUGACUAAGUGAUUUGUGAGCUUUUUCAGUUAAUAAAGUAUCAAAAAGUU
This is a long non-coding RNA of Xenopus laevis (African clawed frog), 783 nucleotides long. RefSeq lists it as uncharacterized. Lineage: Eukaryota; Metazoa; Chordata; Amphibia; Anura; Pipidae. The record is from RefSeq and is a predicted model, not a curated record. The transcript has 4 exons.